AAGAAUUAAAUGGAUGAAAUAUGAAGUUUUAUUAAAAGAAAAAGGGGUGAAAAGAACAAAGUUUUGUCCAUCUUUGUUCAUCAUAGCUGAAAGUUAGAGAAGAGAAAGGAGAGGAGAAAGCUCUUGAGUAUUCGGUCAUUAGGAGGAGGAAAAUUGAAGGUAAGUUCUUGGUACCUUACUUCUAUUUUGAGGUUCAUGAGUUCUUCUUGAUUCUACCUUAACUCUUGAAGUAUAUUUUGAUUUUUAGUUGUGUUGUGAGCAUUUAGUCAUGAAUUAAAAUGAAGGAAAUGGUUGUUGUUUCAUGUUCUUUUGAUGAAAAAUGGAAGAUAGGUGAAGUUGAGCCAAACAAAUGAGCAUGCAUGUGCCUUAGAUGCUAAGGGGAAAAAUCGGCUAACAUAUUGUGCUUUAAAAUGAUGAAAUGGAGAUUAUACUUAAGUAAAAUCAUAGAUAUGUGAUGAUUGAUUGGUGAUAUACAUGUUUAAAUAACAAGCAUGCAAGUUAGGUGUGAAAGAGUGAUUUGGUAAUAAAUCUGCUUGGGACAGCAGCAGUAACGUGACUUUGGAAAAUCACCAUAAAUUGUGGGAGAUGAGUUAGAAGCUGCAUAAAUUAUGUAAUUAAAUAUUAAUGAGUCUAGUUUCAAAUGGAAUAAACGAGAACAUAUUUUGAAUUCUGUACAAUGAGAAAUUUGAUUCGUAAUGAAGAGUGGUCAGAUUAGUCAAACAGUGAAACAUGGGAAACUUUAAGAAAAAUCUGGUAUUGAUUGGCCAUACCAAAAAUUCUGAAAAUUUUAUGGAUAAAAGAUAUAUGAGUCUAUUUUCAGGGAAAAUUAACGGCACUUGAUUUGGAGUUUUGUAGCUCCAGUUAUAAAUGAUUUAGUGACUGUUGCUCAGGAAGACAGCUUGCAGUGAAAUUAUGAUUAUGUGGUAAACAUUGACAAAAAUUUGUUAAUAAGUUGCUUAUUGUUUUCUUAUAAGCUUACUAUGAUCUGUAGGUGUGGUUGGCCGAAUAUCGUAAGGGGUUAAUACGUAGUUUGUAUUUGAAUAGUUAGAUUAACGUGUUAGCAAUCCAAUUGUAGGCGGUUCGUGUGUGGAUCUCGUCAGCAUAUCGUCGCAAACAGGUGUGUAACUGACACCCUCUCAUUGACUAGAUUGGCAAAAGUCAAAAAGCCGAAAUGCCGAAAAGUCUGUAUUUUGGGAAUUUGCGAGUGUGCGAAUGCUCGUAAGAUAGUUGGGUUUGUAUAUUUGGUAAUCUAAAGUAAUAAACUGCAGUACGCGCGAUUUCGUACAUUUUGAUAAUUUGGGCUUAAUGGGCCAAAGAUCGAUUCAUGGGCCAACGGGCCCAAUUCGGUAAGUAUGCGCGGUAAGUGUUCUGAUAGUACGUAAAUAGUUAGGAUAUGCAUGAAAACCCUAAAAGCAGCUAAAUUACUGAAAUACCUUUAAAAGUAAAAAAAUUACUGUUAUACCCCUAGGUGCAAAAUUACCGUUAUACCCCUAGGGUUAAUUUUGACUGAAAAGCAUGACGAUCUGAUUCUGUAUGAUGUAUGCCAUGAUUAUAUAUCUGUUACAUGGGGACAUGGGUUAUAUUAUGGAGGAAGCGUUCUGAUGGCUAUGCCACAAAUAUCUGAUCUGGUGGCUCUGCCACAUAUAUCUGUUCUGGUGGCUCUGCCACGAUUAUCUGUAUCUGGUGACUCUGUCACAUUAUCUGUUCUGGCAGCCAUGCUGCAAAUUCUGUGGUGUGUAGCGGUUGGGUGGGUCGAGUUGUCUCCCCACACGGUGUAAGGUUGGUAUGGGGGUGUAUACGGUUGGAUAUGGUUGGGUUUCUACAUAAACAUGUAAUAUCUGUUCUGUUCUGUUCUGGGCCUAUGGGCUUUAUUCUGAAUUCUGUUCUGGGCUAAGGCCAACUUAUUCUAUUUCUGUGGUUUGAGCUGAUAUAGGCUAUGGUUGGGUUAAUUUACACACUGAGUUUCCCCAAACUCACCCAUUUUAUUUUCAUCCACGCAGGUAAUCCCCAACCAUAGUGGGCUUGGAGCUGUGAGGGAAUUCGGAGUGGCCACCCGUUCUGAAAGUUUGAUUUUCUUCUGGUGAACUGAACAUCCUUUUAUUUACGUUUGAAGUUUUGGGUUUUUAAAUGUAAUAAGGCCACUUAAUUAUUUUU
This 2154-nucleotide long non-coding RNA is filed under the name Gossypium barbadense (sea-island cotton). RNAcentral describes it as "long non-coding RNA (GBAR_LNC007542)". The record is from RNAcentral. Lineage: Eukaryota; Viridiplantae; Streptophyta; Magnoliopsida; Malvales; Malvaceae.